GUCUGGAUAAACUGCACUUUUCCCUCUGUUAAGCUUUUGAAGAAAGAAAUAGGAAAAGAAAAAGGAGAAAUUGAAGUUGCUAGUGUUUCCUGCUUUUGAAAAAGAUAUUGGUAUUGGUUUACGUUCCUCACUUCCUCUUCUGAUCCAUUUCAAUUCCUAUGUGAAACAAAAGUUGAAGAUAGAAUCAAGUAAACCAUUGUACAUUACAGUUUUCCUAUUUUAUAAAAGGGGUUGUUUUACCUAAAAAAAAUCAUCACAAUUGCAGACUUCAGUCUUGAAAGAUUCAUUUGCCGGCUGAAGAUUCAUUUGCCGGUUGAGAUGAGGUCUCUGCAAGAUUUCUUUUUUUCUUUUUAAAUUUUCUUUUCCACAGGACAAGAAGCCCCAUUCUAACUGGUUCAGGACACGUCAGAGUUGCCAUUGCCUAAUUGGUUGUUUCUGCACAGCCCACUGA
Molecule: unclassified non-coding RNA, 451 nt
Filed under: Hevea brasiliensis (rubber tree)
Lineage: Eukaryota; Viridiplantae; Streptophyta; Magnoliopsida; Malpighiales; Euphorbiaceae
Source: RNAcentral